Molecule: long non-coding RNA, 1795 nt
Filed under: Oreochromis niloticus (Nile tilapia)
Lineage: Eukaryota; Metazoa; Chordata; Actinopteri; Cichliformes; Cichlidae
Description: lncRNA (ENSONIG00000034986.1)
Source: RNAcentral
UCAUGUUUAUUGACUUAAUUCUUUCUGUGAAAUAGGACAUUUGCCACUGAUCAGUGGUGUUCUCUCGACACUUAUAAUUCUCUUAGUUGUGGUUGUAACAGCAAUCUGUGCUCAACGGAAAAAGCAAGCCAGCAAAACAAAAGAGGAAGAAAAUGAUCAGGAAGAAAUCUUUGCUGAUCUCAGGGUCGUGAAACGGCAGGCGAAACAACUGGAGAAAAGAGAGGAGAGUUUGGCCAAGUCAAGUACUCAAAGUGUCCUCGGCAGACUGAACCAACAGGAGAUGAUUGUUUGUAUGUUAACGUUCAUAAAUUCAGGUGAUUUAAGUGUUCAGUGCUUCUACACAGACUGCAUCACUGAAGAUCCAUGGAGAGAGGAGCUGAUGUUAAAAUGUCUAAAGGUCUUUCAUUUAAUGUGAUUUCCCAUCAGAAAAAUGUAAAAGAGCUAAUACUUACUGAUUUAUUUUACUUUCAUCUGUAUUAUACCAGAGGAUUACACAUGUAUUCUUUUAUGAUCUCUUGAUUUACAGAUAGUAUGUUACAUAAACACUGUGAGUGUUUUCUGCUUUUGUAUUCUGCAGACGCUCUAAUAGAACAUUUUUAUUUAGGAGUUUUUCUUUUUCCAUGUGAACUUGUCUAGUUUUUGACUUGGUAGAAGUUGCACCAGAUGAUCCUUAAAUUAGAAAUAAAUAAAGUAAAUGGCGUUUGUACAAAUUUCAGUGCAGCAAAACCUUUGGACAGUGAUAAAACAUCCAGAUAUCAACAGUUUAACCUUUAGUCAAUACAUUUCCUCACAGAUUUCCUAAAAGAGACACUGAUAUUCAAAUGACAUUCUCAAGGGAAAGGUGUGUGAGUCACCAUCAUUGUAUUUGCUGCAGUUGUAUCACUUGGAAGAGGCUGUGAGGUUUCCUUUAAGGCAAAGCAGGACUCAAAUGGACUUAAUGGACAAUUAAUUUAUUUAGAAGCGUCAAAAUGUGCAACAAACAAUCCCAAAACUCGAUUCUCACAGUUGUGAUGAUCCAGAUUCCAAGAUGCCAGUGAUUCUCUUCAACAGGCUGCUCUCCACUGGUUUCUGUGCACAAGAGGAGACAGGUAAGUUUCUUCACAAGAUAACAAGAAGCACAACAAACCAGCACAAGACCUGGAGUUACACUGACUGUAGUUCCUCAAUGAUCCAGCGAAGACUGAGUAGCUCAGGUAGUGACUCUUGAGACGCUUUAAAAUGGAGACCUGAUGCUAUCUUUUGAGGUGGUGUAUCUUUGAAAUAUAUAUAAAAAACAAAAACCUAUUGAAACAAAUUAUGAUAGUACUCAAAGUAAAGUCCAAAAAAGGGGAAAAAGGUGUAUCUGGUCAACAAAUCAGUCUGAAGGAGUAUUAUUAUUUAUUACCACGAGAUGGUGCCAUUAUGCAGUAUUCUAUUACUGUUUUAACUGUGUUUUAGUUACUUAUCUGACUUUAUUGUAAAGAAGAGGUCUUCAAGAUUUGUACUAUUAAAACUUUAAAGCUUUAAAGAUGAACUGUAACUAUUUUAAUUAUAUUUUUGUAUAUAUUCUCACAAAACCUCAGUUUUUAAAUAUGAAAGCAAUCAUUUUAGUACACAGUGUUUGCAAAUAGUUAUUAGUCAACAUCCGGAGUGACCUAUUCUUGUUUGACAGAUAUUGAAAUUCUGAGAUCAAUUUCAUAUGUAUUUGCACUUAAAGUUAAAAUACACUUAAAAUAUAGUUAUGGCAGAAGAACUGUUUAAAUAAUAUCUAACUAAUUUUAAUCAGUUUAACUAGCUCCAUCACUGUUUUAUUAAU